AAUCAACGCUGGCGGCGUGCCUCAGACAUGCAAGUCGAACGCGAAAGUUUCCUUCGGGGAACAAGUAGAGUGGCGCACGGGUGAGUAACACGUAGGUAAUCUACCUUUGGAUGGGGAAUAACAACCGGAAACGGUUGCUAAUACCGCAUAAUGCAGCGGCACCUAAUGGUGACAGUUGUUAAAGCGGGGGAUCGAAAGACCUCGCGUCUAAAGAGGAGCCUGCGGCGGAUUAGCUAGUUGGAAGGUAACGGCUUACCAAGGCCACGAUCCGUAACCGGCCUGAGAGGGCGGUCGGUCACACUGACACUGACAUACGGGUCAGACUCCUACGGGAGGCAGCAGUCGGGAAUUUUGGGCAAUGGGCGAAAGCCUGACCCAGCAACGCCGCGUGAAGGAUGAAAUCCCUCGGGAUGUAAACUUCGCAAGAACGGGAAGAAUAAGUGGGGUGAAUAUCCCCCAUGAUGACGUACCAUUUGUAAGCUCCGGCUAACUCCGUGCCAGCCGCCGCUGUAAG
This 514-nucleotide ribosomal RNA is filed under the name uncultured bacterium. RNAcentral describes it as "bacterial SSU rRNA". It matches the Rfam family "Bacterial small subunit ribosomal RNA", at positions 32 to 524 of the family's 1533-position model. The record is from RNAcentral.